This is a long non-coding RNA of Juglans microcarpa x Juglans regia, 210 nucleotides long. RefSeq lists it as uncharacterized. The transcript is spliced from 3 exons. Lineage: Eukaryota; Viridiplantae; Streptophyta; Magnoliopsida; Fagales; Juglandaceae. The record is from RefSeq and is a predicted model, not a curated record.
UUGGAUUAUGCAUAGGGGUGCUCUGUUUCGAAGGUAGCAAGACAGGGCAUUUCUGUCGGUUGUUUCCAUGGUGGCUCACAAUUCAGGGAUGUGCUGGCUGGGUAGCGUUGGUCAUGGUUGUUUGUGGAGGAGUAUGCAGUGGCUUUGUUUGUUGAGACGCUAACCCACGAGGUGGUCAGAAGUUUAUGUGCGAGGCGAAGCUAGGCUAAG